Molecule: ribosomal RNA, 496 nt
Filed under: uncultured bacterium
Lineage: Bacteria
Description: partial 16S ribosomal RNA
Rfam family: Bacterial small subunit ribosomal RNA
Source: RNAcentral
ACGAACGCUGGCGGCGUGCCUAAUACAUGCAAGUAGAACGCUGAAGAGAGGAGCUUACUCUUCUUGGAUGAGUUGCGAACGGGUGAGUAACGCGUAGGUAACCUGCCUUGUAGCGGGGGAUAACUAUUGGAAACGAUAGCUAAUACCGCAUAACAAUGGAUGACACAUGUCAUUUAUUUGAAAGGGGCAAUUGCUCCACUACAAGAUGGACCUGCGUUGUAUUAGCUAGUAGGUGAGGUAAUGGCUCACCUAGGCGACGAUACAUAGCCGAACUGAGAGGGGGAUCGGCCACCCUGGGACUGAGACACGGCCCAGACGCCUACGGGAGGCAGCAGUAGGGAAUCUUCGGCAAUGGGGGCAAACCUGACCGAGCAACGCCGCGUGAGUGAAGAAGGUUCUCGGAUCGUAAAGCUCGGUUGUAAGUCAAGAACGGGUGUGGGAGUGGAAAGUUCACACUGUGACGGUAGCUUAACAGAAAGGGACGGCUAACUACGUG